RNAcentral lists this ribosomal RNA (539 nucleotides) under uncultured bacterium. RNAcentral describes it as "partial 16S ribosomal RNA". It matches the Rfam family "Bacterial small subunit ribosomal RNA", at positions 355 to 887 of the family's 1533-position model. The record is from RNAcentral.
UGGGGAAUUUUGGACAAUGGGGGAAACCCUGAUCCAGCCAUCCCGCGUGUGCGAUGAAGGCCUUCGGGUUGUAAAGCACUUUUGGCAGGAAAGAAACGUCGCGGGUUAAUACCCCGCGAAACUGACGGUACCUGCAGAAUAAGCACCGGCUAACUACGUGCCAGCAGCCGCGGUAAUACGUAGGGUGCAAGCGUUAAUCGGAAUUACUGGGCGUAAAGCGUGCGCAGGCGGUUCGGAAAGAAAGAUGUGAAAUCCCAGAGCUUAACUUUGGAACUGCAUUUUUAACUACCGGGCUAGAGUGUGUCAGAGGGAGGUGGAAUUCCGCGUGUAGCAGUGAAAUGCGUAGAUAUGCGGAGGAACACCGAUGGCGGAGGCAGCCUCCUGGGAUAACACUGACGCUCAUGCACGAAAGCGUGGGGAGCAAACAGGAUUAGAUACCCUGGUAGUCCACGCCCUAAACGAUGUCAACUAGCUGUUGGGGCCUUCGGGCCUUGGUAGCGCAGCUAACGCGUGAAGUUGACCGCCUGGGGAGUACGGUC